AUUGAACGCUGGCGGCAGGCCUAACACAUGCAAGUCGAGCGGAUGAAGGGAGCUUGCUCCUGGAUUCAGCGGCGGACGGGUGAGUAAUGCCUAGGAAUCUGCCUGGUAGUGGGGGAUAACGUCCGGAAACGGGCGCUAAUACCGCAUACGUCCUGAGGGAGAAAGUGGGGGAUCUUCGGACCUCACGCUAUCAGAUGAGCCUAGGUCGGAUUAGCUAGUUGGUGGGGUAAGGGCCUACCAAGGCGACGAUCCGUAACUGGUCUGAGAGGAUGAUCAGUCACACUGGAACUGAGACACGGUCCAGACUCCUACGGGAGGCAGCAGUGGGGAAUAUUGGACAAUGGGCGAAAGCCUGAUCCAGCCAUGCCGCGUGUGUGAAGAAGGUCUUCGGAUUGUAAAGCACUUUAAGUUGGGAGGAAGGGCAGUAAGUUAAUACCUUGCUGUUUUGACGUUACCAACAGAAUGAGCACCGGCUAACUUCGUG
RNAcentral lists this ribosomal RNA (484 nucleotides) under uncultured bacterium. RNAcentral describes it as "partial 16S ribosomal RNA". It matches the Rfam family "Bacterial small subunit ribosomal RNA", at positions 30 to 507 of the family's 1533-position model. The record is from RNAcentral.